Belonocnema kinseyi is the source of this 274-nucleotide long non-coding RNA. RefSeq lists it as uncharacterized. The record is from RefSeq and is a predicted model, not a curated record. NCBI's taxonomy places the organism in Eukaryota, Metazoa, Arthropoda, Insecta, Hymenoptera, Cynipidae. The transcript is spliced from 3 exons.
UGACUCAACUUCAAAUAAGAAAGAAGGAGAAAAUUAUUCUUGGGUACGACAUUGACCUCUUUGCCGAAUGUUUCGUGUUGGGUGAUCGGCUUGUUGAUACUUAUCGCUUGUACGUUUCCAUGCCAUCGACGCAAUUACAGAAAGAUCUUGAAUUCUGAAAAAGUAUUAUCUCCAAGUCCACUAGAAUGCACAACCUUUAGAGACUAAAAAAUAUGUGGUCAAGGGCCCCAACAACGUCGCUACGGGCCUGCACCUGACCGGCUUCAUUCAUAUC